Callithrix jacchus (white-tufted-ear marmoset) is the source of this 4677-nucleotide RNA transcript. It is a transcript of the gene named NK2 homeobox 1, with no coding region annotated. The record is from RefSeq and is a predicted model, not a curated record. Lineage: Eukaryota; Metazoa; Chordata; Mammalia; Primates; Cebidae.
ACCUCAGCCUCUUUCUCGCCAUCAAUCACAAGGGCUCCAUCUGCUCCCGCUCCCGCCCCCGCUCCCGGCAAGGUGACUUGUCGCAGCUGCAGGUAGAGACCUAGAACGCAAUCUGAAGCGUUUCAUUAGGGAAAUAGGUGCGCAGCACUCUCCGCCCCUACAGCUCCUUCGGCUUCUGGAAAGCCGGCCGGCCUCCUUCCCCGGAAUCUCCUGCAUCAACUCAUGCCCAACGACUCCUGCUCAAUUUCUGGCCUCCCCUCUAGAGAAAUCAGCAUUCCGAGGAUGCGCCUGGCGCUGAGGUGCUUGGAAGCUUCUGAGGUUUGGGAGCAGUACAGUUCACCCCGAGAUCACCGCUAAGCUUUGGCUCCGUCAAAGUACCCUACCCAUCCCUAGGCCCCAACGACUGCGAGGAGGGGGGGAGAUUUUGCACACUGCAUCCCCCCCCCUUCCUCCUCUCCCCACCCCCACUUCGCCAUGUAAACACGAGGACUUUCUCGAGAGCCUUGGAGAGCCGCUCUAGUGGCUUCGGGCCCUGAAACCCCAGGCUGGGCUUGUUUGAUGUUUAGCAUCCCAAAGCGGCUCCCCACCCUGGCCCCAGCCUGGGAACUGGGAGCUGUGGGCAGGAGAGGAAGGAAAUCAGCUCUCUCAGCUAGUUAGGGGGUCAGGGACUGGGCCAGGCUCAGAAGCCGGGAGAAGAGCGAGAAAGAUGCUCUGAGCGGGGAAGACAGGGAUACCCGGCUGCUGCCGCUACCAACAAGGGCACACACUGCGGUCCUCAAGGCCAGGAGGCGGGUGGGGGCAGGGAAUACCUCAGCCAACAGGGCAGCGGCUCGGCCCUGCUGCUGGCCUGGUGGGAAGUAGCCUGGGGCCCUGCGACUGAAAUCCGAGCCAAGCCCGGGCAGUCUCCACUAGAAACGCUUUGGGCGCGCGCUCCAGGAGACUCGGAGGCCCCGGGCGCUCCAGCCCAGUGAUGUUGUAGGAGAUUAGAGUUUGGCCUUUCAUAGGGAAAGACUUGCUCGGGAGCCUUCUAAGAGAUUUUAAAUCUUCCUGGGUCAGGACUAGGGAGCUCUAGUGACAGUGCCUUGGUCUGGCAUCCAAGACUCCAAUUUUGAGGCCGCAGGGAGGAAUUGUCAGACUGUAGAGGCUGCCCAGCCUUCAGCGCGCUCACCGCGUCCAAGCGUCGGUGAGGGGCUAUCUCAAGGCACGAGUGCACAAAAGGUAGCGCGAGUCUCUUCUCAGGCGAUCCACAUAAGAGGAAAGGAGAGCGGGGUUUUCUGACUUCCAACUCAUUAGGGACCAGAUAUAAAUCCUCAAAGUCUGGCAAGAAUGAAGGCAUAAGGAUAUUCUUCAAAGAAACAUCAUUUUAAAGAAAAAGACUUCACACUGGGUAAAGAUGGCCAAUUAAUUUGGUUCUUUUUCUUCAGGAUCAGGCACAGAGACUGACUGAAUGGCUCCAAUUAUCAGGAUUUGAAAACCCAGUAUCAGAAUCUACCACUUUGUAGCAUAAUAAGAAAUGGCUGCUCUUAGAAAAGUUCUGUGACCACAGAAAGAACAGGCCUGAGGGAGAGGGAAAAGCGGAUACCCACCUGUGUCGCUGUUUAUGUGCCAAGUCCAGGAACAGUCCAUACAGCCCUGCUGCAUCCCACGACGCUGUCAUCAAGAAAGAGGUCAUCCGAGGCCAAGGUGUCGCCAUCAGAAUGUUCAUCAAAGUAGCGAUGCUGACUUCAUUCGUAGGCAGAUUCUCUUCCUGUGGAGUAUCCAGCCUGUUUGCCGAGUUUUCUCGUUCUUCCGGGGUCUGUUUACUGUAUUCCAGCUACCAAAGUGAUAGAAGUAAAACUGAAAGAGUUCUAAAUAGCUUUUUGCCCCCAUGUUAGCUGCCUUGCGUUAAUGUGGUCCUAUCAUCAUUUGAUGAUUUGGCGACUGCAGUUAUCCAUACUAGCUCUCCUACCACUGACUACUGAGAGUUAAUUAUUAUUGAAUAUCCAUCCAUCCAGGGUGAGUUAUAACUUAUGCCAGGUGUUUUGGUGAAUAAUACUAAUGCAAUUCAUUUUACUGUUUACCCUCUCAUCUUAAAGUAAUCAGCUGAUAAAAUAAGAUGGAUUGGAUUGGUACUUAAAGGUUUUUUCUCUGUGAGGCUUUUGCCCUAUUCAUAUUAAACUGUUUUUAAAAUUUACUAUUCAUACUUCCUGUCCAUAAAUCAUAUAAUCAUGUCCUUUUCCCAUUUAUCCAUUGGGAAUAUUGUUAGUGUUCACAUGUAUGUUUGAAUAAAUUUUCAUAUACUUGGUGCUGAUAAUUCUAUUUUUCAUUUGUGUUAACUUUUUUUGUAUUUACUGUUAAUUGCUUCUCUUACUUAGAAGUUAGAAAUUUAUGUAAUUAUAUUUGACUAUUUUAUUUAAUUUCCAAUGUCUUCAUUUGCUCCACUUGUAAGAAAAUUAUCACUUUAAAGUGAGACUAAAAGCCCUAUAUAUUCUUUUGGGUCUCUAUUUCCCACCAUCCCUGAGAUUUUACUCUGACAUUCUCUGGGCCUUAUAGCCGAGGCCCCAUAACUAUUCAAUGCAUUAUUUUCACAAAAGUUUGAUGCUUGUGUUAUGACUUCAAUUGAGUAGUUACCUUAGAGCCUAUUACCUACUUAUUUAUCCUGUAUUUAGAACUAUUUCUCAUGUUUUCUGUUGUCCAUGGGGCUUAUAAAUCACACCCAACUUCACUCAUUCUCUUACUCAUUUCGUUAUUCACUCAUUCACACUUCCAUUUAUCCAUUCAUUUACUAUAUUUGGCACACAAACUCUAGGGUGACCAACAGUGAUCCUUGCUUCCUAGUGUGUUCACUCUUGUGUGUAGGCAGGACCUGGGACUUGCUUUUAACCAACAGAAUAUGACAAAAGUGGUGAGAUUUCUUCCUGUGAUUGUGUUACAUAACAUAAGCCUCUGUCUUGCUAGUAGAGUCACUCUAGACACUCUCCUUGUUGGCUUGAUGAAGUAAGCAGUCAUGCUGAGGAAGCUCUCCUGGUGAGGAACCUUGGACAGACUCCAGCUAGCAGUCAGAAAGAAGCCUGGAUCCCUGGUCUUAGAGCUGCAUGGAAAUGAAUUCUGCCAAUAACCUGAGUGAGCUUAAAAGGGGUUUCUUCCUCAGUCAGGUCUCCAGAUGAGUACACAGCCCAGGUGAUACCUUGAUUGCAGUGUUGCAAGACUCUAAGCAGAGGGCCCAUUUAAGCCAUGCCCUUACCUAGAAACUGUAAGAUAAUAAAUAGUUAUUUUGAGCCACAACGUAUGCAAAGUAUGCAGUAAUUAGUUAUGCAGAAAUAGAGAAUGAGUACACUGUGCUAUGCUAAUUAUCAUAUGCAUGAUCUCUUAGUGUUUCAAGUAAUGUCAUAAGCCUGAUAUUAAUAUUAUCUUCAUUUACAGAAGGAGAAACUGAUGCUCAGAAGUUGAUCUCCAGAAUGUUUUGCUCUUAGCCACUAUGCUAUUAUGGCAUGUUUUAUCUUAAUGUAUUGCAUUGUUUCAUGGGUUCAAGUUUAUCAUGUCCUUAAUGUAUUUGACAGGUUUUAGCAGAUAGACAAGUUUAAAAAUUUAUCUGCUAAAACCUGUCAAAUACAUUAAGGAAAAGUCCUGCAUGGCUAAUCUCCCACACAAGGUAGAUGUUUUUAAGUUCAACUCUAUAAAGACAUUUCAUUUAACUUUUUUGUGCUGUACUUAUACAUCUUGUAGAAAUAAUAUUUGAUUCAUGAAUAGGAAAGGUUUUCUUAAAAGUGAUGGACUGUGAACUAUUUAGAAGAAAGAAUAAUCAUGGCAGACAUGAGUGCAAAAUGCUUUGAAUUUAUCUGGAAUUAGAACAUUGAGAAAAACAUUAGUUAAAAUGUGCUGCAGCUUGAACUCUGUCUUUAAUUUUGCUAUAAGACUAAAACAUUUAAUCCGUGUCUUAAUGUUAACAUUUCUGAUCAGGUAUAGGCAAAAAUAUAAUAUAGAGAUAUUUUGAAACAGGGUUUUUUUUAAACAACUAAAGUCCUAUUUGGUUCACUGUUCUGAGGAGUUAAGGUGGAGUUGUGAUGUCUUCUAAUAAAAGUCCUUUUUGUUCUGCAUUAUCAGAUGUUAAUUAUUCAUACUGCAUGACUGAGGAUUUUGGAGGCAGAAAGAGAUUCACCUGCGAUAUCUGGAACACCAAUGGGGGUCUACACCAACACAGAAUUUAUACAGCAGCUGGUGCUAGUCAAAGCUAAUGAGAGAAUUUCAGUUUAAUAAAAAGACCCCCAACUGAGCACACCAUCUUGAAAAAAGUAUACUUAUCAAACAACUUUCAAUCAGUUCAAGAGAGACACCUUAAUUGGCAAGAGGAAGAAUUGCAGAGUAGUUUGUAAUCAUGCCAAUUCUAGAUCAAUAACUGCAUGUCUGUUCUGUGGUAGACAUAGCUUUUGCUUCAUAUGAAGUAAUCACAUAUAAAUUCUCUCUAUUUGGAUAAGGGAACCUUUGCUUUAUUUGACGAUGUAUAAUGAUAUCCUCUUUUAAUACACCUUUGUGUCUUCAUAAUAAACACGAGUAAAAUUUAGACAUGUGAUGGUAAAAGUCAAUAUAAUUGUUGAUUUUAAAAAUAAACUUUGUAUCUAACAGGAAAGCAGUGCUUAUGAAAUUUUUAUAUUUUCAAAAAUAAUUUUGUUGAAAUAAAAUUAUAUGAAUAAAGUUAAA